ACUUACUGCACUCACUUUAUGACUCAAAGUUCGCGGUUAUUGGCACCUUUGUGCAGCAUACACAUGUGGAAGAUGCUGAUGAAGACCACAAAAACAAACCAUUUAAUGAAUGUGCGAAAGCCAGACAACCAUAAAAUAGAUGUCACUGCCAGAAAAGAAACUCCCCCCUCAAAAAAAAAAAUCCCACAGUCAUGCCAUGCAUCUUCACUCAUCUGGACUGAGAGGACAUAAACAUACAAGCGCAGCGUCAUGUCUCUGAUAGUGUCUCAGGGUGAGGGUUUGACAGUCAUCGCCAUCACCUCAAACCCAAAAAGCAAAUGGCCCGUAAUGUGUUAGAUUCUGAGUUUUCUGUGUAACAGUCCAGGGUGUUUUGCACCUCGGCAUAUGAAAGGGAAUCUGAAGGACGUCCACAUAGCACUUGGAAUUGUGCAGUUGAUAGUUGGUGUCAUCAAUAUUGUGUUCCUUGUAGCUGGAAUCAUGUGUAUUCUUGGAACGAGAAUUACCUGUUCUUGUCGGGUGGUGGAGGAUCCAGAACUUCACAAGCCGCUCCUGGAAGGCGACACUGCCAAUCCUGUGUGACAAGAUUAAAGGACAAAAUAAUCAAAGUCAUUCUUUUUGCUUGUAAUGGAAUGGCAUUUUCUCUCAAUAUUGUAGUGAAAUGAUUUAAAGCAGAUCUCCAUCCGCAACAUUGUUAAAUUACGUUUAGGAACAACACUUAUUGUUUCCUUUUACAAAAGUGGUGUUACCAUUGAUCUCUCUAUAUAUAGAUCAGUGGGUGUUACCUUUUAUUAUCUUUUUCAGUUUUGUUGGGAUCUUUGGGGCUGCUUUUUUUAAAAAUAAAUGACUGUAGCACUUUUGCAUCGA
This is a long non-coding RNA of Megalobrama amblycephala (Wuchang bream), 864 nucleotides long. RefSeq lists it as uncharacterized. The record is from RefSeq and is a predicted model, not a curated record. The transcript is spliced from 6 exons. NCBI's taxonomy places the organism in Eukaryota, Metazoa, Chordata, Actinopteri, Cypriniformes, Xenocyprididae.